RNAcentral lists this ribosomal RNA (265 nucleotides) under uncultured bacterium. RNAcentral describes it as "partial 16S ribosomal RNA". It matches the Rfam family "Bacterial small subunit ribosomal RNA", at positions 67 to 334 of the family's 1533-position model. The record is from RNAcentral.
CGGGCACCUAUCUUCGGAUAGAAGCGAGUGGCGAACGGCUGAGUAACACGUGGAGAACCUGCCCCCUCCCCCGGGAUAGCCGCCCGAAAGGACGGGUAAUACCGGAUACCCCGGGGUGCCGCAUGGCACCCCGGCUAAAGCCCCGACGGGAGGGGAUGGCUCCGCGGCCCAUCAGGUAGACGGCGGGGUGACGGCCCACCGUGCCGACAACGGGUAGCCGGGUUGAGAGACCGACCGGCCAGAUUGGGACUGAGACACGGCCCAG